This 1177-nucleotide ribosomal RNA is filed under the name Acinetobacter baumannii. Its description in RNAcentral is "bacterial SSU rRNA". It matches the Rfam family "Bacterial small subunit ribosomal RNA", at positions 11 to 1183 of the family's 1533-position model. The record is from RNAcentral. Lineage: Bacteria; Pseudomonadati; Pseudomonadota; Gammaproteobacteria; Moraxellales; Moraxellaceae.
GUUUGAUCAUGGCUCAGAUUGAACGCUGGCGGCAGGCUUAACACAUGCAAGUCGAGCGGGGGAAGGUAGCUUGCUACUGGACCUAGCGGCGGACGGGUGAGUAAUGCUUAGGAAUCUGCCUAUUAGUGGGGGACAACAUCUCGAAAGGGAUGCUAAUACCGCAUACGUCCUACGGGAGAAAGCAGGGGAUCUUCGGACCUUGCGCUAAUAGAUGAGCCUAAGUCGGAUUAGCUAGUUGGUGGGGUAAAGGCCUACCAAGGCGACGAUCUGUAGCGGGUCUGAGAGGAUGAUCCGCCACACUGGGACUGAGACACGGCCCAGACUCCUACGGGAGGCAGCAGUGGGGAAUAUUGGACAAUGGGGGGAACCCUGAUCCAGCCAUGCCGCGUGUGUGAAGAAGGCCUUAUGGUUGUAAAGCACUUUAAGCGAGGAGGAGGCUACUUUAGUUAAUACCUAGAGAUAGUGGACGUUACUCGCAGAAUAAGCACCGGCUAACUCUGUGCCAGCAGCCGCGGUAAUACAGAGGGUGCGAGCGUUAAUCGGAUUUACUGGGCGUAAAGCGUGCGUAGGCGGCUUAUUAAGUCGGAUGUGAAAUCCCCGAGCUUAACUUGGGAAUUGCAUUCGAUACUGGUGAGCUAGAGUAUGGGAGAGGAUGGUAGAAUUCCAGGUGUAGCGGUGAAAUGCGUAGAGAUCUGGAGGAAUACCGAUGGCGAAGGCAGCCAUCUGGCCUAAUACUGACGCUGAGGUACGAAAGCAUGGGGAGCAAACAGGAUUAGAUACCCUGGUAGUCCAUGCCGUAAACGAUGUCUACUAGCCGUUGGGGCCUUUGAGGCUUUAGUGGCGCAGCUAACGCGAUAAGUAGACCGCCUGGGGAGUACGGUCGCAAGACUAAAACUCAAAUGAAUUGACGGGGGCCCGCACAAGCGGUGGAGCAUGUGGUUUAAUUCGAUGCAACGCGAAGAACCUUACCUGGCCUUGACAUACUAGAAACUUUCCAGAGAUGGAUUGGUGCCUUCGGGAAUCUAGAUACAGGUGCUGCAUGGCUGUCGUCAGCUCGUGUCGUGAGAUGUUGGGUUAAGUCCCGCAACGAGCGCAACCCUUUUCCUUACUUGCCAGCAUUUCGGAUGGGAACUUUAAGGAUACUGCCAGUGACAAACUGGAGGAAGGCGGGGACGAC